This 460-nucleotide ribosomal RNA is filed under the name uncultured bacterium. RNAcentral's name for it is "partial 16S ribosomal RNA". It matches the Rfam family "Bacterial small subunit ribosomal RNA", at positions 338 to 795 of the family's 1533-position model. The record is from RNAcentral.
CCUACGGGAGGCUGCAGUGAGGAAUAUUGGUCAAUGGACGAGAGUCUGAACCAGCCAAGUAGCGUGAAGGAUGACUGCCCUAUGGGUUGUAAACUUCUUUUAUAUGGGAAUAAAAUGUUCCACGUGUGGAAUUUUGUAUGUACAAUAUGAAUAAGGAUAGGCUAACCCCGUGCCAGCAGCCGCGGUAAUACGGAGGAUCCGAGCGUUAUCCGGAUUUAUUGGGUUUAAAGGGAGCGUAGGUGGGUUGUUAAGUCAGUUGUGAAAGUUUUCGGCUCAACCGUAAAAUUGCAGUUGAAGCUGGCAGUCUUGAGUACAGUAGAGGUAGGCGGAAGUCGUGGUGUAGCAGUGAAAUGCGUAGAUAUCACGAAGAACUCCGAUUGCGAAGGCAGUUCACUGGACUGCAACUGACACUGAGGCUCGAAAGUGUGGGUAUCAAACAGGAUUAGAUACCCCUGUAGUC